RNAcentral lists this ribosomal RNA (497 nucleotides) under uncultured bacterium. RNAcentral's name for it is "partial 16S ribosomal RNA". It matches the Rfam family "Bacterial small subunit ribosomal RNA", at positions 28 to 507 of the family's 1533-position model. The record is from RNAcentral.
GAUGAACGCUGGCGGCGUGCCUAAUACAUGCAAGUCGAGCGAACGGACGAGAAGCUUGCUUCUCUGAUGUUAGCGGCGGACGGGUGAGUAACACGUGGAUAACCUACCUAUAAGACUGGGAUAACUUCGGGAAACCGGAGCUAAUACCGGAUGAUAUUUUGAACCGCAUGGUUCAAAAGUGAAAGACGGUCUUGCUGUCACUUAUAGAUGGAUCCGCGCUGCAUUAGCUAGUUGGUAAGGUAACGGCUUACCAAGGCAACGAUGUAUAGCCGACCUGAGAGGGUGAUCGGCCACACGGGAACUGAGACACGGUCCAGACUCCUACGGGAGGCAGCAGUAGGGAAUCUUCCGCAAUGGGCGAAGGCCUGACGGGGCAACGCCGCGUGAGUGAUGAAGGUCUUCGGAUCGUAAAACUCUGUUAUUAGGGAAGAACAUAUGUGGAAGUAACUGUGCACAUCUUGACGGUACCUAAUCAGAAAGCCACGGCUAACUACGUG